CACCUACGGGAGGCAGCAGUGAGGAAUAUUGGUCAAUGGACGAGAGUCUGAACCAGCCAAGUAGCGUGAAGGAUGACUGCCCUAUGGGUUGUAAACUUCUUUUAUAUGGGAAUAAAACAGGGUAUGCAUACCCUCUUGUAUGUACCAUAUGAAUAAGGAUCGGCUAACUCCGUGCCAGCAGCCGCGGUAAUACGGAGGAUGCGAGCGUUAUCCGGAUUUAUUGGGUUUAAAGGGUGCGUAGGAGGGCUGUUAAGUCAGCGGUCAAAUGUCGGGGCUCAACCCCGGCCUGCCGUUGAAACUGGCGG
Molecule: ribosomal RNA, 305 nt
Filed under: uncultured bacterium
Lineage: Bacteria
Description: bacterial SSU rRNA
Rfam family: Bacterial small subunit ribosomal RNA
Source: RNAcentral